UACAGAGGUCCCGAGCGUUGUUCGGAUUCACUGGGCGUAAAGGGUGCGUAGGUGGUGAGGUAAGUCGGAUGUGAAAGCUCCGAGCUCAACUCGGAAAUGGCAUUGGAAACUACCUUGCUAGAGGGUUUGAGGGGGGAUUGGAAUACUUGGUGUAGCAGUGAAAUGCGUAGAUAUCAAGUGGAACACCAGUGGCGAAGGCGAAUCCCUGGAAAAUACCUGACACUGAGGCACGAAAGCUAGGGGAGCAAACAGG
This 253-nucleotide ribosomal RNA is filed under the name uncultured bacterium. Its description in RNAcentral is "partial 16S ribosomal RNA". It matches the Rfam family "Bacterial small subunit ribosomal RNA", at positions 524 to 776 of the family's 1533-position model. The record is from RNAcentral.